ACGCACGCUGGCGGCGUGCUUCACCCCUGCCAGUCGAACGGAAAGGCCUGCUUUCCCUUGUGGAUUGCGGGUACUCGAGUGGCGAACGGGUGAGUAACACGUGAGUGAUCUGCCCCCAACUUGGGUAUAAGCCUGGGAAACUGGGUCUAAUUCCCGAUAGGACUGCAGGGUGGUGCCUGUGGUGGAAAACGAUUUUCUAGUGGUUGGGGAUGAGCUCGCGGCCUAUCAGCUUGUUGGUGGGGUAAUGGCCUACCAAGGCGGCGACGGGUAGCCGGCCUGAGAGGGUGGACGGCCACAUUGGGACUGAGAUACGGCCCAGACUCCUACGGGAGGCAGCAGUGGGGAAUAGUGCACAAUGGGCGGAAGCCUGAUGCAGCGACGCCGCGUGGGGGAUGACGGCCUUCGGGUUGUAAACUCCUUUCGACCGCGAGGAAGCCACCUGGUUGGAAGGGUGGUGACGGUAGUGGUAGAAGAAGCACCGGCUAACUACGUG
RNAcentral lists this ribosomal RNA (493 nucleotides) under uncultured bacterium. Its description in RNAcentral is "partial 16S ribosomal RNA". It matches the Rfam family "Bacterial small subunit ribosomal RNA", at positions 29 to 507 of the family's 1533-position model. The record is from RNAcentral.